UACGUAGGGAGCAAGCGUUGUCCGGAAUCAUUGGGCGUAAAGCGCGCGUAGGCGGCCCUGUAAGUCCGUUGUGAAAGUCAAAGGCUCAACCUUUGAAAGCCGAUGGAUACUGCAGGGCUAGAGUCCGGAAGAGGCGAGUUGAAUUCCUGGUGUAGCGGUGGAAUGCGCAGAUAUCAGGAGGAACACCAAUAGCGAAGGCAGCUCGCUGGGACGGUACUGACGCUAAGGCGCGAAAGCGUGGGGAGCGAACAGG
RNAcentral lists this ribosomal RNA (253 nucleotides) under uncultured bacterium. RNAcentral's name for it is "partial 16S ribosomal RNA". It matches the Rfam family "Bacterial small subunit ribosomal RNA", at positions 524 to 776 of the family's 1533-position model. The record is from RNAcentral.